This 1501-nucleotide ribosomal RNA is filed under the name uncultured marine bacterium. RNAcentral describes it as "16S ribosomal RNA". It matches the Rfam family "Bacterial small subunit ribosomal RNA". The record is from RNAcentral.
GAGUUUGAUCAUGGCUCAGAUUGAACGCUGGCGGUAGGCUUAACACAUGCAAGUCGUGCGAGACCUUCUCUUCGGAUAUGAGUCGAGCGACUGACGGGUGAGUAUCUCCUCUGAUUCUACCUAUUACAACGGGAUACCCCGAGGAAACUCUUAUUAAUCCCUCAUACCUCCUUCUUGAGAAAGAAGGCCUCUCUUUGAAGCUUUCACUACUAUAUGAGCCUGCUGAACAUUAGCUUGUUGGAGAGGUAAAUGCUCUCCAAGGCUACUAUCUUUCGCUGGUCUGAAAAGACGAUCACCCACUUUGCGACUGACACACGGCCCGAACUCCUACCGGAGGCGGCAGUGCUGAAUAUUGCAUGCUGCGCGCGUGCCUGAUCCCCCCAUACCGCGUGUGUCAUUAAGGCCUUCGGAUUGUGACGCACUUUGAGCAGGAAGACACAGUUAUACUCUUAGUACCUUAUCACCCUGAUGUUACCUGCAGAAUACGCUCCUGCUAAUUCCGUGCCAUCAGCCGCCGUAAUACGGAUUGUGCAAGCGUUAAUCAGAUUUACUGGGCGUACCCCGCGACUACGUGGAUUGUUAAAUUGGAUGUGAACAGCCCUGGGCUCUACCUAUGAACUGCAUCCAAAACUAACUCACUAUAGUACGAUAGAGGGAGGUAGAAUUCAUAGUGUAGCGGUGGAUUGCGUAGAUAUUAUGAGAAUACCAGUGGUGAGGGCGGCCUCCUGGAUGUGUGCUGACACUGAGGUGCGAUAGCGUCGGUAGCGAACAGGAUUAGAUACCCUGAUAGUCCACGCCGUAAAUGAUGACACACUAGCUGUUGGGAGACUAUGUCUUUCAGUGGAGCAGCUAACGCUUUAAGUUGUCCGCCUGGAGAGUACGGCCGCAAGGCUGAAACUCAAAUGAAUUGACGGGGACCCGCACAAGCGGUGGAGCAUGUGGUUUAAUUCGAUGCAACGCGAAAAACCUUACCUACUCUUGACAUACUUGGAGGCUCUUGUAAUGAGAGUGUGCCUUUGGGAAGCAAGAUACAGGUGCGGCAUGGCUGUCGUCAGCUCGUGUCGUGAGAUGUUCCGUUAAGUCGGAUAACGAGCGCAACCCUUACCCUUAUUUGCCAGCGAUUCGGUCGGGAACUAUAAGGGGACGGCGGGUGAUAAACCGGAGGAAGGUGAGGUAGACGUCAAGUCAUCAUGGCCGUUGUGAGUAGGUCUACACCCGUGCUGCAAUGGGAGAUCCAGACGGACGAUAACCCGCGAGGUGGUGUUAUUCCUAAAAAGUCUUUCGUAGUCGGGAGGGGUGUGUACAUCUAGACUCCAAGAAGUGGGAAUCGCUAGUAAUCGCGGAUCAGCAUGCCGCGGAGAAUGUUGUUCUGGCGUUGUUGCACACACCGCCCGUCACCCCAGUGAGAAGUGGAUUGCCCCAGAAGUAGAUAGUCUACCCUUAGGGAGGGCGUUUACCACGGUGUGCUUCAUGACUGGGGUGAAGUCGUAACAAGGUAACC